CUUAGUGGCGGACGGGUGAGUAACGCGUGGGGAACCUGCCUUGCACCGGGGGAUAACACUUAGAAAUAGGUGCUAAUACCGCAUAAGCGCACAGAGCCGCAUGGCUCAGUGUGAAAAACUCCGGUGGUGCAAGAUGGACCCGCGUCUGAUUAGCUGGUUGGCGGGGUAACGGCCCACCAAGGCGACGAUCAGUAGCCGGCCUGAGAGGGUGAACGGCCACAUUGGGACUGAGACACGGCCCAAACUCCUACGGGAGGCAGCAG
Molecule: ribosomal RNA, 263 nt
Filed under: uncultured bacterium
Lineage: Bacteria
Description: partial 16S ribosomal RNA
Rfam family: Bacterial small subunit ribosomal RNA
Source: RNAcentral